GGCUGGGUAAGAUCCUUAUCAAUAAUCAAUAUAUUAGAGGAGGCUGGGUAAGAUCCUUAUCAAUAAUCAAUAUAUUAGAGGAGGCUGGGUGAGGUCCUUAUCAAUAAUCAAUAUAUUGGAGGAGGCUGGGUAAGAUCCUUAUCAAUAAUCAAUAUAUUGGAGGAGGCUGGGUAAGAUCCUUAUCAAUAAUCAAUAUAUUAGAGGAGGCUGGGUGAGAUCCUUAUCAAUAAUCAAUAUAUUGGAGGAGGCUGGGUGAGGUCCUUAUCAAUAAUCAAUAUAUUGGAGGAGGCGGGGUGAGGUCCUUAUCAAUAAUCAAUAUAUUGGAGGAGGCGGGGUGAGGUCCUAAUCAAUAAUCAAUA
Molecule: long non-coding RNA, 359 nt
Organism: Dicentrarchus labrax (European seabass)
Lineage: Eukaryota; Metazoa; Chordata; Actinopteri; Moronidae
Exons: 3
Source: RefSeq, a predicted model, not a curated record